RNAcentral lists this non-coding RNA (24 nucleotides) under Arabidopsis thaliana (thale cress). The record is from RNAcentral. Lineage: Eukaryota; Viridiplantae; Streptophyta; Magnoliopsida; Brassicales; Brassicaceae.
AUGCACCGGCUUGAUGAGAUUACA